UGAAAAAUACUGUGAAUUACAAUAUCUUCUAGAUGAACAAAUUGAUAUAUCCUUUAUGUUUGCCAUGUUGAGGGGGAGUAGAGAAAUAAGCAAUCAAAGAAGGGGGCUAAAGAAGUAAAAUAUGGUAUCAAAAAGGAAGAGUAAAGAAAAUAUAUCUUUUUUGUCAUUUUUUUUCUUUUCUCUAUCCUUAAAAUCCCUUAAGAUCUUAAUUGAUGCUAUCAAAAAGGGGG
RNAcentral lists this long non-coding RNA (230 nucleotides) under Elaeis guineensis (African oil palm). RNAcentral describes it as "long non-coding RNA (EGUI_LNC069097)". Lineage: Eukaryota; Viridiplantae; Streptophyta; Magnoliopsida; Arecales; Arecaceae. The record is from RNAcentral.